GGAUGUGAGGGUGAUCUGGCUGUGACACCUGUCACCUCACUGAUCACCAGGGAUGAUUCAGCUGAUCUGGUUGGCUAGGGAGUGUCCCCUUCCUCCCUCAAUGUUCCACGAGCAUCCCUCCCAAACUGUUCGAUCUAUCAAAGAUGACCCAAGCAAGAAGACAAGUAGCUUACAUGCUGUGGAAGAGAAGGUCUCCAGACUGGGC
Molecule: small nuclear RNA, 205 nt
Filed under: Erinaceus europaeus (western European hedgehog)
Lineage: Eukaryota; Metazoa; Chordata; Mammalia; Eulipotyphla; Erinaceidae
Description: 7SK RNA
Rfam family: 7SK RNA
About the family: 7SK was discovered as an abundant small nuclear RNA in the mid-70s but a possible function has only recently been suggested.
Source: Rfam by way of RNAcentral